This is a long non-coding RNA of Carassius gibelio (silver crucian carp), 1639 nucleotides long. RefSeq lists it as uncharacterized. The transcript is spliced from 2 exons. The record is from RefSeq and is a predicted model, not a curated record. NCBI's taxonomy places the organism in Eukaryota, Metazoa, Chordata, Actinopteri, Cypriniformes, Cyprinidae.
GCUAGAGCUAUGCUCCGUGAGAUGGUGUCCCUCUAGGAGCAGAGUCGAACACCCCUGAGGGAGCAAAAGAACGGAGUAAACAAACAAGGCCUCAUGCAAAGUCUUUUUAAAAGAUUUUUUUUUUUCACUUUGAGUUCCACGUUGUUUUUUGGAAAUGUGACUUUGUAAAUCGGGGAUAGCCGACCCAGUUUCUAGAGGGCAACCAUCCUGCAGAGUUUACUGUAGCUCCAACCCUAAUCAAACUCAUUUGAACCUGGUGUGUUUGAGUAAGUUUGGAACGAUGUUUACAAAAGGGUAGUCAAGAGCAGGAUUUGCUACCCCUGCCCCAAAGACAUCUUAAAGUUUAAUAUAUGUUGAGAUCGGGGUGUAGCCAACACUUUUCCUGCAGAAUUUUUCUCCAACUGUAAGCGAACACACCUGAACCUGUUAAUCAAGGUUAUAUCACAGACAGGUGUGUUAGAGCAAGGUUGGAACUGAAAUACUCCUGGUUCUUCUGACAAAUCUAGGCUAGUUGCUAAAAUCUAGCAGAAUUAUUUUAGUUCAGCCUCUGACAGGGCUGUUGAAAUUUUCUGUGGGCUCCAAACACUUGCUAACUUGAACUGUACGGUCCCAUUGUUUUGAGAUCGUGUGGUUUGUAAGAAAGCGAAGGAUGGUCAUUUCAGCUGUCCCGACAGUCAGUUGAUGCAAGAGCUGCCUGGUGAGACGCAUCAAACCUCCAGUGAGCACCUUUCCUCAUCUCAUUUAUAAUGGAGAGGCAGCUCGUCCAGUUCCUGGAAGGACAGGUCCGCAGACAGAUCCCUGAGGUCUGACUUUCACCACCUUUCCUACACUGAAGUUGGAUUUAGAAGGCUUCAUUUGAUACAGGACCCUCAAGGGAGAAUUGAGGUUUAGUUCUAUUUUUUUAAUUGUUUCUUCAAGAAUAUUUUCAGCUAUGCUUGGGACAGCACUUCUUUUAUAGCAGAAGUAGAAGCCUUUUUUUCUUCAUUCAGCCCUGUUGGAUAAAAAGAGGCAGGAUGUGGGCACUCCUGAAAGUGCAUCUGUAACUGCAGGGGCUCAUCUGAGAGCAGAGUCCUGGUGCUCUCAAGUUAUUUUGGAUGACAUUGACCUAUUUUUGGCUCUGCUGCUGAAUAAAAAUACCUCUGUCUAAAUGUCUCCUUGUGCAUUAGAGACACCUUGUCUGAGCAGAGACACCUGCUCUAAAGACCUGUGUGGGAAAAGCUCUCAACUCAUCCCUCAUAGCCUUUUUCUUUAUUUGUCACAAUAUGUAAAAGUCAGGUUAAUGCCUAUAUGUUAAAUGUGUUUGUUGUCGUUUGUGUGUAAUCUUAUGCAGAGGAAAAUCAUGAUUCAUUAUAAUCAUUCUAUGAAUCCCAACCAGUGCUGUUCCCUGUUUAAAAAAAAAAAAAAAAAAAUUAUUGGAGCAUUAUAAUGUAGUUUUAAAUGCCCUUUACCCCACAUGCAUAGUACAGCCCUUGAAAUGGGUCAGAAAAAUGUCCAUUUAAGUUUAAAUAAGCAACAUCACGUCACAUUGACUCAUAGGAUGAAGUAAUUUCAGAUCUCAAUGGACCUGCUCAUGCCGACAUUUUGCCCUGUUGUUUUCUUAUGCUCUGUUAUGGCUCAUUAAAAGUUGGAAAAGACAUAA